RNAcentral lists this ribosomal RNA (940 nucleotides) under Salmonella enterica subsp. enterica. Its description in RNAcentral is "partial 23S ribosomal RNA". It matches the Rfam family "Bacterial large subunit ribosomal RNA", at positions 1292 to 2215 of the family's 2925-position model. RNAcentral also lists the same sequence under 1 other name. The record is from RNAcentral. Lineage: Bacteria; Pseudomonadati; Pseudomonadota; Gammaproteobacteria; Enterobacterales; Enterobacteriaceae.
GAAUGCUGACAUAAGUAACGAUAAAGCGGGUGAAAAGCCCGCUCGCCGGAAGACCAAGGGUUCCUGUCCAACGUUAAUCGGGGCAGGGUGAGUCGACCCCUAAGGCGAGGCCGAAAGGCGUAGUCGAUGGGAAACGGGUUAAUAUUCCCGUACUUGGUGUUACUGCGAAGGGGGGACGGAGAAGGCUAUGUUGGCCGGGCGACGGUUGUCCCGGUUUAAGCGUGUAGGUGUGUGUUCCAGGUAAAUCCGGUUCACUUUAACACUGAGGCGUGACGACGAGGCACUACGGUGCUGAAGCAACAAAUGCCCUGCUUCCAGGAAAAGCCUCUAAGCAUCAGGUAACACGAAAUCGUACCCCAAACCGACACAGGUGGUCAGGUAGAGAAUACCAAGGCGCUUGAGAGAACUCGGGUGAAGGAACUAGGCAAAAUGGUGCCGUAACUUCGGGAGAAGGCACGCUGACACGUAGGUGAAGUGAUUUACUCAUGGAGCUGAAGUCAGUCGAAGAUACCAGCUGGCUGCAACUGUUUAUUAAAAACACAGCACUGUGCAAACACGAAAGUGGACGUAUACGGUGUGACGCCUGCCCGGUGCCGGAAGGUUAAUUGAUGGGGUCAGCGUAAGCGAAGCUCCUGAUCGAAGCCCCGGUAAACGGCGGCCGUAACUAUAACGGUCCUAAGGUAGCGAAAUUCCUUGUCGGGUAAGUUCCGACCUGCACGAAUGGCGUAAUGAUGGCCAGGCUGUCUCCACCCGAGACUCAGUGAAAUUGAACUCGCUGUGAAGAUGCAGUGUACCCGCGGCAAGACGGAAAGACCCCGUGAACCUUUACUAUAGCUUGACACUGAACAUUGAGCCUUGAUGUGUAGGAUAGGUGGGAGGCUUUGAAGUGUGGACGCCAGUCUGCAUGGAGCCGACCUUGAAAUACCACCCUUUAAUGUUU